ACUGUCUUUCCUGUAACUGGCCUGGAGCCGCACUGCUGGGAGCUCCCCUCUGGCCUCCUGACUCCAUUAUAAACGAGAUUUCCCAUCAUUGUUUUUCACAGAGCAGAUGGCAGUGCUCUCAUCCAGCACCUCUGGCUCACUCUGCUCUUCUUGAGAAGUUGAAGUGGACUUCUGAUGGCUUUUCCACUGCUUGCAGCCCCAACGUUUUCAGAGUCGUCUUCCUCCUCAUCACUAUCAAAUUCACUUCUCUGAGGUAAAUGAGGGCCACCUUCAGCAUCUUAGGUGGACUUCUUUUCCUUUUGGACAGUUGUGGACGUUGCUGUUCCAUUUUUUCUUUCCCCAACUUCUACUUUUCAUGUUCCAUUUUUUUAAAACCUUCUCAAAUCCAAGCUGGAAGCGUUGUGCAUUCUACUGCAUCGAUUUGUGGAGGCUCCUGCUCACAGGAAGUGCAAUGGCUGAACGCUGCCAAUCCCUGAAUGGUGGUGGCCUUUCUCUUUGAUUCUGGGGAGGCGCCGGGGGUCCUGGGGUCCUGGGUUGCAACAAGGAGGAUGAAAUCCAGCUUGUGGUGGGUGAACCAAAAGCAGCACCAUGCUGAUAGCCAAACCGGUCCACUGACCCGACUGCAGAGUUACCAGGUGGUCCACCCAAGCUGAGAUGGUUCUGGUCAAAUAUAUGCUGUUGUCGGGGGCGAAUCCCCCCACCCCCCCGUCCUGGCUGUUGCUGCCUUCAGAAGGAGGAACAAGGUCUACUGGGCCUGGUGUUGGUGGCAUCCAUGGCUGAUCUGGAGGGGCGUGGGGGUUGCUGAAGCAUUUCCCACUCUGGUGGCCACAUUCUGUGAAAGUUUGAAUCCCCUUGAAACUUCCCAUGAUUGUUUGGACCAGAUCCCCUCGGAGACGUGUCCUGUCCAUCUGGCACCAUUCCUAGUUGUGGUUCUACAUGCUUUGUUGUCCUGAAGCUUCUCUUUGGUCAAUCCAAGCUCGAGCCAAUGCAGCCCAGUCAACCUGGAUCCUGUUAGUACUGGAGUGGCUGCAUCCAUUGUUGCUGGUUCAAGGGUCACUGCCACCAAGGCUGUCCUCCUUGAUCCCACAGGCUGACUUCUAAG
RNAcentral lists this long non-coding RNA (1102 nucleotides) under Equus caballus (horse). Its description in RNAcentral is "lncRNA (ENSECAG00000044838.1)". Lineage: Eukaryota; Metazoa; Chordata; Mammalia; Perissodactyla; Equidae. The record is from RNAcentral.